This 116-nucleotide ribosomal RNA is filed under the name Verrucomicrobiota bacterium. RNAcentral also lists the same sequence under 1 other name. The record is from RNAcentral. Lineage: Bacteria; Pseudomonadati; Verrucomicrobiota.
UGUGGUGACCUUGAAGCGGUGGACCGACCCGAUCCCAUCCCGAAUUCGGCCGUCAAACGCCGCGUUGCCGAUGGUAGUGCAUGUAUAGCUUGUGCGAGAGUAGGUAGUCGCCACAU